Molecule: ribosomal RNA, 871 nt
Filed under: Periconia elaeidis
Lineage: Eukaryota; Fungi; Ascomycota; Dothideomycetes; Pleosporales; Periconiaceae
Description: partial large subunit ribosomal RNA
Rfam family: Eukaryotic large subunit ribosomal RNA
Source: RNAcentral
UGCCCUAGUAACGGCGAGUGAAGCGGCAACAGCUCAAAUUUGAAAUCUGGCUCCUUCGGGGUCCGAGUUGUAAUUUGCAGAGGGUGCUUUGGCGUUGGCGGCGGUCUAAGUUCCUUGGAACAGGACAUCACAGAGGGUGAGAAUCCCGUACGUGGUCGCCUGCCUUCGCCGUGUAAAGCCCCUUCGACGAGUCGAGUUGUUUGGGAAUGCAGCUCUAAAUGGGAGGUAAAUUUCUUCUAAAGCUAAAUACCGGCCAGAGACCGAUAGCGCACAAGUAGAGUGAUCGAAAGAUGAAAAGCACUUUGGAAAGAGAGUCAAACAGCACGUGAAAUUGUUAUAAGGGAAGCGCUUGCAGCCAGACUUGCCUGUAGUUGCUCACCUGGGCUUUUGCCCGGGGCACUCUUCUGCAGGCAGGCCAGCAUCAGUUUGGGCGGUCGGAUAAAGGCCUCUGACACGUACUUCCUUUCGGGGUUGACAUAUAGGGGAGGCGUAAUGCGACCAGCCUGGACUGAGGUCCGCGCAUCUGCUAGGAUGCUGGCGUAAUGGCUGUAAGCGGCCCGUCUUGAAACACGGACCAAGGAGUCUAACAUCUAUGCGAGUGUUUGGGUGUCAAGCCCGAGCGCGUAAUGAAAGUGAACGGAGGUGGGAACCCCUCGGGGCGCACCAUCGACCGAUCCUGAUGUCUUCGGAUGGAUUUGAGUAAGAGCAUAGCUGUUGGGACCCGAAAGAUGGUGAACUAUGCUUGAAUAGGGUGAAGCCAGAGGAAACUCUGGUGGAGGCUCGCAGCGGUUCUGACGUGCAAAUCGAUCGUCAAAUUUGGGCAUAGGGGCGAAAGACUAAUCGAACUAUCUAGUAGCUGGUUCCUGCCGAG